GGUUCGUGGAAUAAUCUGUCUGCUUAAUUGCGAUAACGAACGAGACCUUAACCUGCUAAAUAUGUUUUGUAACUAACGUUGCAAAAGAUUCUUAGAGGGACUGAUUGCAAAAAGCGAUUGGAAGUUUGAGGCAAUAACAGGU
RNAcentral lists this ribosomal RNA (142 nucleotides) under uncultured eukaryote. RNAcentral's name for it is "partial small subunit ribosomal RNA". It matches the Rfam family "Eukaryotic small subunit ribosomal RNA", at positions 1296 to 1461 of the family's 1831-position model. The record is from RNAcentral.